Molecule: non-coding RNA, 87 nt
Organism: Pelobates cultripes (western spadefoot toad)
Lineage: Eukaryota; Metazoa; Chordata; Amphibia; Anura; Pelobatidae
Source: the annotation of a GenBank genome assembly
CUUGUCUUGGUGACAGAGAGAGAGAGAUACCUGUUUUGGUAAUACACCACAACAGGUAUCUCCCUCUCUCUGUCUAUCAUGUUUCUU